RNAcentral lists this ribosomal RNA (457 nucleotides) under uncultured bacterium. RNAcentral describes it as "bacterial SSU rRNA". It matches the Rfam family "Bacterial small subunit ribosomal RNA", at positions 340 to 786 of the family's 1533-position model. The record is from RNAcentral.
UACGGGAGGCAGCAGUGGGGAAUAUUGCACAAUGGGCGCAAGCCUGAUGCAGCCAUGCCGCGUGUAUGAAGAAGGCCUUCGGGUUGUAAAGUACUUUCAGUCGUGAGGAAGGUGUUAAGGUUAAUAACCUUAGCAAUUGACGUUAGCGACAGAAGAAGCACCGGCUAACUCCGUGCCAGCAGCCGCGGUAAUACGGAGGGUGCGAGCGUUAAUCGGAAUUACUGGGCGUAAAGGGCACGCAGGCGGUUAAUUAAGUUGGAUGUGAAAUCCCCGGGCUUAACCUGGGAAUGGCAUUCAAGACUGGUUAGCUAGAGUCUUGUAGAGGGGGUAGAAUUCCAUGUGUAGCGGUGAAAUGCGUAGAGAUGUGGAGGAAUACCGGGUGGCGAAGGCGGGCCCCUGGGACAAAGGACUGACGCUCAUGUGCGAAAGCGUGGGGAGCAAACAGGGAUUAGAUACC